AAAGGUGGUCUAGGUUCAUAUCAAUAGUGUGGAGUAAAGGUGGUCUAGGUUCAUAUCAAUAGUGUGGAGUAAAGGUGGUCUAGGUUCAUAUCAAUAGUGUGGAGUAAAGGUGGUCUAGGUUCAUAUCAAUAGUGUGGAGUAAAGGUGGUCUAGGUUCAUAUCAAUAGCGUGGAUUAAAGGUGGUCUAGGUUCAUAUCAAUAGCGUGGAGUAAAGGUGGUCUAGGUUCAUAUCAAUAGUUGUAUAGGAGUAAAAGUCGCCUUGUUUAAUUUGGAAAGACUUUGAGGUGCUUUCGGUGGCUUAAUCCUUCCUACAGCAGGGAAGGAUUAAGUAAUAGCCUAAUGCAUUGUCGGUAAGUACAAUGAGGAAGUAGACUAAAUAUUUUGGCAUUAAUGCUGAAGAAAAACAAAACUACUUUGAUAAGGAAAUGCACUUUAACCCCCAGAGUGUCAACACAACUUCUGGAGGUCUUGGACAAUCCAUCAGAAUUAGGUUACUGUGUAAUGCUGGAGAUCUGCUAACUUCAUCCAGAUUGGUUGAGACUAAAAAUAGCCUAGACAUGAGGUUCACAGAGAUGUUCUAUCAGUGAUCCAUUGUGAUCAUAGCAUAAUAUGUAGGCUAUAAUGCAGCUAACUUGGGUCGGAAGUAUCCUUCUUCAAGGUGGAAGCUAUUUGCAUUGUACAGGAAUGACUGAUCUGUAAAAGAUCAAGACUACAGCAUGAAGUCUUGCAAGAACACAACUUCCCAGCAAAUACCAAAAUGUGCCCUGCUCUGAAGCCAUCUAGCCUACAUAUUUUCAGUCCAAACAUCCCAGCUAGCUCCUCCUUCAGAACCUGUUUCCCUUGACAUGUGAGACUGAGACUAGCGCCACCAUUUUGAUUGCCUCCUAGCCCACAGCCCACAGUUGUCACAGAGUGUAUAGUUCAGUCUCCUUGUCAGCAAGAUUUCACCGUGGCCACAGUGAGUGAGUCUGCAGGAGAGUAAGGCACACAUUGCCUUCUCUUGACU
Molecule: long non-coding RNA, 1006 nt
Filed under: Salmo salar (Atlantic salmon)
Lineage: Eukaryota; Metazoa; Chordata; Actinopteri; Salmoniformes; Salmonidae
Description: lncRNA (ENSSSAG00000119861.1)
Source: RNAcentral